Molecule: ribosomal RNA, 486 nt
Filed under: uncultured bacterium
Lineage: Bacteria
Description: partial 16S ribosomal RNA
Rfam family: Bacterial small subunit ribosomal RNA
Source: RNAcentral
AUUGAACGCUGGCGACAUGCCUUACACAUGCAAGUCGAACGGCAGCACGGGUGCUUGCACCUGGUGGCGAGUGGCGAACGGGUGAGUAAUACAUCGGAACAUGUCCUGUAGUGGGGGAUAGCCCGGCGAAAGCCGGAUUAAUACCGCAUACGAUCUACGGAUGAAAGCGGGGGACCUUCGGGCCUCGCGCUAUAGGGUUGGCCGAUGGCUGAUUAGCUAGUUGGUGGGGUAAAGGCCUACCAAGGCGACGAUCAGUAGCUGGUCUGAGAGGACGACCAGUCACACUGGAACUGAGACACGGCCCAGACUCCUACGGGAGGCAGCAGUGGGGAAUUUUGGACAAUGGGCGAAAGCCUGAUCCAGCAAUGCCGCGUGUGUGAAGAAGGCCUUCGGGUUGUAAAGCACUUUUGUCCGGAAAGAAAUCCUUGGCCCUAAUACGGUCGGGGGAUGACGGUACCGGAAGAAUAAGCACCGGCUAACUACGUG